UACGUAGGGUGCGAGCGUUAAUCGGAAUUACUGGGCGUAAAGCGUGCGCAGGCGGUUCGUUAAGACAGAUGUGAAAUCCCCGGGCUUAACCUGGGUACUGCAUUUGUGACUGGCGAGCUAGAGCAUGGCAGAGGGGGGUAGAAUUCCACGUGUAGCAGUGAAAUGCGUAGAGAUGUGGAGGAAUACCGAUGGCGAAGGCAGCCCCCUGGGCCAAUACUGACGCUCAUGCACGAAAGCGUGGGGAGCAAACAGG
This 253-nucleotide ribosomal RNA is filed under the name uncultured bacterium. Its description in RNAcentral is "partial 16S ribosomal RNA". It matches the Rfam family "Bacterial small subunit ribosomal RNA", at positions 524 to 776 of the family's 1533-position model. The record is from RNAcentral.